GCUGCUCAAAAUUUGCACACCUCUCCGCGGGGAGCAGCAGGCAACGCCUAAAUAGGCGGCAAAGAUGCAAAA
This 72-nucleotide ribozyme is filed under the name unclassified sequences. Its description in RNAcentral is "HDV ribozyme from F. prausnitzii". It matches the Rfam family "HDV ribozyme from F. prausnitzii". The record is from RNAcentral.